GUUCUUUUGUUCUGUUAUGAGAUUUCAAUGAUGGUCGGUUUUGUUCCGAUACAAGAUUUCAAUGACAGUCAGUUUUAUUCGUUUAUGAGAUCUCAAUGACGGUCAGUUUUGUUCCUUUAUCACAUUUCAAUAACAGUCAGUUUUCAUUGUCAGUCACAAGAUGUCAAUUCGGUAUGUUUUGUUCUUUUAUGAGAUUUUAAUGACAGUUGCUUUUGAUCAACAACUUCAAUGAUGCUUGGUUUUGUUCUGUUAUGAGAUUUCAAUGACGGUUGAUUUUGUUCCUUUACAAGAUUUAAAUGAUGGCCAUUUUUUCCAUUAUGAAAUUUCAAUGCCACUUGGCUUAGUUUCUUAAUGAGAUUUUAAUGACGGUCGGCUUUGUUUCUUAAUGAGAUUUCAAUGAUGGUAGGUUUUCAGUGUCAGUUUUUUUUCUGUUAUAAGAUUUCAAUGACAGUCGGUUUGUUCUGUUGCGAGUUUUCAGUGAUAGCCGGUUAUAUACCGUUGUGAGUUUUCAAUGAUAGCCGGUUAUAUUCGGUUACAAGAUUUCAAUGACAUCUGUUUUAUUCGGUUAUGAGAUUUCAAUGAUAGUCGGUUUUCAAUGAUAGAUCUGAAUGAUGGUAGGUUUUCAGUGUCAGUCAGUUUUUUUCUGUUAUAAGAUUUCAAAAACGGUCUGUUUUGUUCCUUUGUUUUUUUAUGAGAUUUCAAAGACAGUCGGUUUUGUUCCUUUACGAGAUUUGAGUGACAGUCGGAUUUGUUCAGUUACGAGAUUUCAAUGACGGUCGGUUUUGUUUUUUUGCAAGAUCUCAAUGACGAUCGGUUUUGUUCCUUUUCAAGACAUCAAUGAGUUGAUUUUGUUCCUUUACAACAUUUGAAUGACGGUCAGGUUUUGAUCUUUUGUUUUUUUAUGAGAUUUCAAAGAUGGUCGGUUUGUUCUUUUUUUUUUUUUUAUAAGAUUUAAAAGACAGUCAGUUUUGUUUCGUUACAAGAUCUCAUUGCUCUCAGUGAUGAUAGAUUUUGGUGGGUUAUGAGAUCUCAGUGAUGGUAGGUUUUGUGGGGUAUGAGAUCUCAAUGACAGUCAGUUUUGGUGGGUUAGAGAUCUCAAUGAUGGUUGGUUUUGCUAGGUUAUGAGAUUUCAAUGAUGGUCAUUGAAGUCUGACUUUUUCAGUUACAAUAUUUCAAAGACAGUCGGUUUUGUUCCUUUUUUUUGUAAGAUUUAAAAGACAGUCGGUUUUGUUUCGUUACGAGAUUUUAAUGACGGUCGGUUUUGUUCCUUUCUUUUGUAAGAUUUAAAAGACAGUUGGUUUUGUUUCGUUACGAGAUCUCAAUGACGGUCGAUUUUGGUGGGUUACGAGAUGUCAAUGAUGGUCAGUUUUGGUUGGUUAUGAGACCUCAAUGGUAGAUUUUCAGUGUAAGUUUUUUUUUCCGUUAUAAGAUUUUAAAGACGGUCAGUUUUGUUCCUUUGUUUUUUUAUGAGAUUUCAAAGACAGUCGGUUUUGUUCUGUUACAAAAUCUCAAUGACGGUUGGUUUUGCUAGGUUAUGAGAUUUCAAUGAUGGUCGGUUUUGGUGGGUUACGAGAUCUCAAUGACGGUUGGGUUUGCUAGGUUAUGAGAUUUCAAUGAUGGUUGGUUUUGGUGGGUUACGAGACCUCAAUGAUGGUAGGUCAUUUUUUUUCUGUUAUAAGAUUUUAAAGACGGUCAGUUUUGUUCCUUUGUUUUUUUAUGAGAUCUCAAAGACAGUUGGUUUUGUUCUUUUACGAGAUUUGAGUGAUGGUCGGAUUUGUUCAGUUACGAGAUUUCAAUGACGGUCUGACUUGUUCAGUUACAAUAUUUCAAAGACAGUCGGUUUUGUUUCAUUAGGAGAUUUCAAUGAUGGUCGGUUACAAGAUUUCAGUGAGGGUCAGUUCUGCUGGGUUAUGAGACCUCAGUGAUGGUAGGUGUUGUUGGGUUACGAGAUCUCAAUGACGGUGGUUUUGGUGGGUUACAAGAUGUUAAUGACGAUUUGUUUUGCUAGGUUAUGAGAGUUCAUUGAUGGUCAGUUUUGGUGGGUUGAUCUCAGUGAUGGUAGGUUUUGGUUGGUUACGAGAUCUCAGUGAUGGUCAGUUCUGCUGGGUUACGAGAUCUCAGUGAUGGUAGGUUUUGUUGGGUUACGAGAUCUCAAUGUCGGUUGGUUUUGCUAGUUUAUGAGAUUACAAUGACGGUUGGUUUUGGUGGGUUACGAGAUCUGAAUGACGGUUGGUUUUGCUAGGUUAUGAGAUUUCAAAGACAGUCGGUUUUGUUCCUUUACGAGAUUUGAGUGACGGUCAGAUUUGUUCAGUUAUGAGAUUGUAAUGAUGGUCAGACUUGUUCAGGUACAAUAUUUCAAAGACAGUCUGUUUUGUUUCGUUACGAGAUUUCAAUGACGGUCGGUUACGAGUUGGUUUUGCUAGUUUAUGAGAUUUCAAAGACAGUCAGUUUUGUUCCUUUAUGAGAUUUGAGUUCCUUUGAGUCGAUUUUGUUCCUUUUUUUUAUAAAAUUUAAAAGACAGUUGGUUUUGUUUCGUUACGAGAUCUCAAUGACGGUCGAUUUUGGUGGGUUACGAGAUCUCAAUGAUGGUCAGUUUUGGUUGGUUAUGAGACCUCAAUGGUAGAUUUUCAGUGUAAGUUUUUUUUUUCCGUUAUAAGAUUUUAAAGAUGGUCAGUUUUGUUCCUUUGUUUUUUUAUGAGAUUUCAAAGACAGUCAGUUUUGUUCUGUUACAAAAUCUCAAUGACGGUUGGUUUUGCUAGGUUAUGAGAUUUCAAUGAUGGUCGGUUUUGGUGGGUUACGAGAUCUCAAUGACGGUUGGGUUUGCUAGAUUAUGAGAUUUCAAUGAUGGUUGGUUUUGGUGGGUUACGAGACCUCAAUGAUGGUAGGUCAUUUUUAUUUCUGUUAUAAGAUUUUAAAGACGGUCAGUUUUGUUCCUUUGUUUUUUUAUGAGAUUUCAAAGACAGUCGGUUUUGUUCUUUUACGAGAUUUGAGUGAUGGUCGGAUUUGUUCAGUUACGAGAUUUCAAUGACGGUCUGACUUGUUCAGUUACAAUAUUUCAAAGACAGUCGGUUUUGUUUCAUUAGGAGAUUUCAAUGACGGUCGGUCAUUUUUUUCUGUUAUAAGAUUUUAAAGACGGUCAGUUUUGUUCCUUUACGAGAUUUGAGUGACGGUCAGAUUUGUUCAGUUACAAGAUUUAAAUGACGGUCGGACUUGUUCAGUUACAAUAUUUUAAAGACAGUUGAUUUUUUUCUUUUGGUAAGAUUUAAAAGACAGUCGGAUUUGUUUCAUUAUGAGUUUUUGAUGACGGUUGGUUACGUGAUCUCAGUGAUGGUAGGUUUUGUUGGGUUACGAUAUCUCAAUGACGGCCAGUUUUGGUGGGUUACGAGAUCUCAGUGACGGUUGCUUUUGCUAGGUUAUGAGAUUACAAUGAUUGUUGGUUUUGGUGGGUUACGAGAUCUCAGUGAUGGUAGAUUUUGUUGCAUUAUGAGAUCUAAAUGAUGGUCGGUUUUGGUGGGUUACGAGAUGUCAAUGACGGUCGGUUUUGUUCGGUUUUGAGAGUUCAAUGAUGGUUGGCUUUGGUGGUUUACGAGACCUCAAUGAUGGUAAGUUUUCAGUGUCAGUUGUUUUUUUUCCCUUUAUAAGAUUUUAAAGACGGUCAGUUUGUUCCUUUACGAGACUUGAAUGACGGUCAGAUUUGUUCAGUUACGAGAUUUCAAUGACAGUCAGACUUGCUCAGAUACAAUAUUUCAAAGACAGGCAGUUUUAUUCCCUUUUUUUAUAAGAUUUAAAAGACAGUUGGUUUUGUUUCGUUACGAGAUUUCAAUGAUGGUCGGUUACGAGAUCUCAUUGAUCUCAAUGAUGGUAGAUUUUCUUGGGUUACGAGAUGUCAAUUACGAUUCGUUUUGCUAGGAUAUGAGAGCUCAUUGUAGGUCAGUUUUGGUGGGUUACGAGAUCUCAGUGAUGGUCGGUUUUGUUGGGUUACAAGAUCUCAAUGACAGUUGGUUUUGCUAGUUUAAGAGAUUUCAAUGAUGGUUGGUUUUGGCGGGUUACGAGAUCUGAAUGACGGUUGGUUUUGCUAGAUUAUGAGAUUUCAAAGAUGGUCGGUUUUGGUGGGUUACGAGACCUCAGUGAUGGUAGGUCGUUUGGUUUGGUUUGGUUGCAAUAUUUUAAAGACAGUCAAUUUUUUUCCUUUUUUUUUGUAAGAUUUAAAAGUCUGAUUUGUUUCGCUACGAGAUCUCAGUGAUGGUAGGUUUUGUUGGGUUACAAGAUCUCAAUGACGGUCGGUUUUGGUGGGUUACGAGAUCUCAGUGAUGGUAGGUUUUGUUGUAUUACGAGAUCUAAAUGACGGUCGGUUUUGGUGGGUUACGAGAUGUCAACGACGGUUGGUUUUGCUAGGUUUUGAGAGUUCAAUGAUGGUCGGUUUUGGUGGGUUACAAGACCUCAAUGAUGGUAGGUUUUCAGUGUCAGUUGUUUUUUUUCUGUUACAAGAUUUUCGUUGUUGCGUUACGAGAUUUCAAUGACGGUCGGUUACAAGAUCUUAUUGAUCUCAAUGAUGGUAGGUUUUGGUGGGUUAUGAGAUCUCAAUGAUGGUAGGUUUUGGUGGGUUACGAGACCUCAAUGAUGGUAGGUUUUCAGUGUCAGUUUUUUUUUUCGGUUAUAAGAUUUUAAAGACGGUCAGUUUGUUCCUUUGUUUUUUUAUGAGAUUUCAAAGACAGUCAGUUUUGUUUCUUUAUGAGAUUUGAGUGACGGUCAGAUUUGUUCAGCUACAAGAUUUUAAUGACAGUUGGACUUGUUCAGGUACAAUAUUUCAAAGACAGUCUGUUUUGUUUCGUUACGAGAUUUCAAUGACGGUCGGACUUGUUCAGGUACAAUAUUUCAAAGACAGUCUGUUUUGUUUCGUUACGAGAUUUCAAUGAUGGUCGGUUACAAGAUUUCAGUGAUCUAAGCGAUGGUAGGUUUUGGUGGGUUACGAGAUCUCAGUGAUGGUCGGUUUUGGUGGGUUACGAGAUCUCAGUGAUGGUCGGUUUUGCUAGUUUAUGAGAUUUCAAUGAUGGUCGGUUUUGUUGGGUUACGAGAUCUCAGUGACUGUUGGUUUUGCUAGGUUAUGAGACCUCAAUGAUGGUAGAUCGUUUUUUUCUGUCAUAAGAUUUUAAAGACGGUCAGUUUUGUUCCUUUGUUUUUUUAUGAGAUUUCAAAGACAGUGGUUUUUUUUUCAGUUACAAGAUCUCAAUGACGGUUGGUUUUACUAGGUUAUGAGAUUUCAAUGAUGGUCGGUUUUGGUGGGUUAUGAGACUUUAAUGAUGGUAAGUAGUUUUUUUUCUGUUAUAAGAUUUUAAAGAUGGUCGGUUUUGAUCCUUUGUUUUUUUAUGAGAUUUCAAAGACAGUCAGUUUUGUUUCUUUUUUUUAUAAGAUUUAAAAGACAGUCAGUUUUGCUUCGUUACGAGAUUACAAUGACGCUCGGUUACGAGUCGGACGGUCGGUUACGAGAUCUCAUUGAUCUCAGUGAUGGUAGGUUUUGGUGGGUUACGAGACCUCAAUGAUGGUAGGUCGUUUUUUUUCUGUUAUAAGAUUUUAAAGAUGGUCAGUUUUGAUCCUUUGUUUUUUUAUGAGAUUUCAAAGACAGUCAGUUUUGUUCCUUUUUUUUUAUAUAAGAUUUAAAAGACAGUCGGUUUUGUUUCGUUACGAGAUUUCAAUGACGGUCGGACUUGUUCAGGUACAAUAUUUCAAAGACAGUCUGUUUUGUUUCGUUACGAGAUUUCAAUGACGGUCGGACUUGUUCAGGUACAAUAUUUCAAAGACAGUCUGUUUUGUUUCGUUACGAGAUUUCAAUGGCGGUCAGACUUGUUCAGUUACAAUAUUUCAAAGACAGUCUGUUUUGUUUCGUUAUGAGAUUUCAAUGACGGUCGGUUACGAGAUUUCAGUGAUCUCAGCAAUGGUAGGUUUUGGUGGGUUACGAGACCUCAAUGAUGGUAGGUUUUCAGUGUCAGUUUUUUUUUUUCGGUUAUAAGAUUUUAAAGACGGUCAGUUUGUUCCUUUGUUUUUUUAUGAGAUUUCAAAGACAGUCAGUUUUGUUUCUUUAUGAGAUUUGAGUGACGGUCAGAUUUGUUCAGCUACAAGAUUUUAAUGACAGUUGGACUUGUUCAGGUACAAUAUUUCAAAGACAGUCUGUUUUGUUUCGUUACGAGAUUUCAAUGACGGUCGGACUUGUUCAGGUACAAUAUUUCAAAGACAGUCUGUUUUGUUUCGUUACGAGAUUUCAAUGACGGUCGGACUUGUUCAGGUACAAUAUUUCAAAGACAGUCUGUUUUGUUUCAUUACGAGAUUUCAAUGAUGGUCGGUUACGAGAUUUCAGUGAUCUAAGCGAUGGUAGGUUUUGGUGGGUUACGAGAUCUCAGUGAUGGUCGGUUUUGGUGGGUUACGAGAUCUCAGUGAUGGUCGGUUUUGCUAGUUUAUGAGAUUUCAAUGAUGGUCGGUUUUGUUGGGUUACGAGAUCUCAGUGACUGGUUUUGCUAGGUUAUGAGACCUCAAUGAUGGUAGAUCGUUUUUUUCUGUCAUAAGAUUUUAAAGACGGUCAGUUUUGUUCCUUUGUUUUUUUAUGAGAUUUCAAAGACAGUGGUUUUUUUUUCAGUUACAAGAUCUCAAUGACGGUUGGUUUUACUAGGUUAUGAGAUUUCAAUGAUGGUCGGUUUUGGUGGGUUAUGAGACUUUAAUGAUGGUAAGUAGUUUUUUUUUCUGUUAUAAGAUUUUAAAGAUGGUCGGUUUUGUUCCUUUGUUUUUUUUUAUGAGAUUUCAAAGACAGUCAGUUUUGUUCAGUUACAAGAUCUCAAUGACGGUUGGUUUUGCUAGAUUAUGAGAUUUCAAUGAUGGUCAGUUUUGGUGGGUUACGAGAUUUCAAUGAUGGUCGGUUUUGGUGGGUUACGAGACCUCAAUGAUGGUAGGUCGUUUUUUUUCUGUUAUAAGAUUUUAAAGAUGGUCAGUUUUGAUCCUUUGUUUUUUUAUGAGAUUUCAAAGACAGUCGGUUUUGUUCCUUUUUUUUUAUAUAAGAUUUAAAAGACAGUCGGUUUUGUUUCGUUACGAGAUUUUAAUGACGUUCGGUUACGAGUCGGACGGUCAGUUACAAGAUCUUAUUGAUGGUAGGUUUUGGUGGGUUACGAGAUCUCAGUGAUGGUCUGUUUUGGCGGGUUACGAGAUCUAAAUGAUGGUCGGUUUUGGUGGGUUACGAGAUGUCAAUGACGUUUGGUUUUGCUAGGUUUUGAGAGUUCAAUGAUGGUCGGUUUUGGUGGGUUACGAGACCUCAAUGAUGGUAGGUUUUCAGUGUCAGUUGUUUUUUUCUCUGUUAUAAGAUUUUAAAGACGGUCAGUUUGUUCCUUUGUUUUUUUAUGAGAUUUCAAAGACGGUCGGUUAUGAGUCGGACUGUCGGUUACGAGAUCUCGUUGAUCUCAGUAAUGGUAGGUUUUGGUGGGUUACGAGACCUCAGUGACAGUAGGUCGUUUAUUUUCUGUUAUAAGAUUUUAAAGAUGGUCAGUUUUGUUCCUUGGUUUUUUUGAGAUUUCAAAGACAGUCAGUUUUGUUCCUUUACGAGAUUUGAGUGACGGUCAGAUUUGUUCAGUUACGAGAUUUCAAUGACGGUCAGACUUGCUCAGGGACAAUAUUUCAAAGACAGCUGGUUUUGUUCCUUUCUUUUUUAUAUAAGAUUUAAAAGACAGUCGGUUUUGUUUUGUUACGAGAUUUCAAUGACAGUCAGUUACGAGAUCUCAUUGAUCUCAAUGACGGUAGGUUUUGGUGGGUUACGAGACCUCAAUGACGGUAGGUCGUUUUUUUUCUGUUAUAAGUUUUUAAAGACGGUCAGUUUUGUUCCUUUGUUCUUUUAUGAGAUUUCAAAGACAGUUGGUUUUGUUCGGUUACAAGAUCUCAAUGACAGUUGGUUUUGCUAGGUUAUGAGAUUCCAAUGAUGGUCGGUUUUGGUGGGUUACAAGAUCUCAAUUACGAUUGGGUUUACUAGGUUAUGAGAUUUCAAUGAUGGUCGGUUUUGGUGGGUUACGAGACCUCAAUGAUGGUAGGUCUUUUUUUCUGUUAUAAGAUUUUAAAGAUGGUCAGUUUUGUUCCUUUGUUUUUUAUGAGAUUUCAAAGACAGUCGGUUUUGUUCCUUUACGAGAUUUGAGUGACGGUCGGAUUUGUUCAGUUACGAGAUUUCAAUGACGGUCAGACUUGUUCAGUUACAACAUUUCAAAGACAGUCGGUUUUGUUUUGUUACGAGAUUUCAAUGACGGUCGGUUACGAGAUCUCAGUGAUCUCAGCGAUGGUAGGUUUUGUUGGGUUACGAGACCUUAGUGAUGGUCGAUUUUGCUGGGUUACGAGAUCUCAGUGAUGAUAGGUUUUGUUGGGUUACGAGAUCUAAAUGACGGUCGGUUUUGGUGGGUUAUGAGAUGUUAAUGACGGUUGGUUUUGUUAGGUUAUGAGAGUUCAAUGAUGGUCGGUUUUGGUGGGUUACGAGACUUCAAUGAUGGUAGGUUUUUUAGUGUCAGUUUUUUUUUUUUUCUGUUACAAGAUUUUAAAGACGGUCAGUUUGUUCCUUUACGAGAUUUGAGUGACGGUCAGAUUUGUUCAGUUACGAGAUUUCAAUGACAGUCAGACUUGCUCAGAUACAAUAUUUCAAAGACAGGCAGUUUUAUCCCUUUUUUUAUUUUUUUAUUAAGAUUUAAAAGACAGUCGGUUUUGUUUCGUUACGAGAUUUCAAUGACGGUCGGUUACGAGAUCUUAUUGAUCUCAAUGAUGGUCGGUUUUGGUGGGUUACGAGACCUCAAUGAUGGUAGGUUUUCAGUGUCAGUUUUUUUUUUCGGUUAUAAGAUUUUAAAGACAGUCAGUUUGUUCCUUUGUUUUUUUAUGAGAUUUCAAAGACAGUCGGUUUUGUUCCUUUACGAGAUUUGAGUGACGGUCAGAUUUGUUCAGUUACGAGAUUUUAAUGGCGGUCAGACUUGUUCAGGUACAAUAUUUCAAAGACAGUCUGUUUUGCUUCGCUACGAGAUUUCAGUGAUCUAAGCGAUGGUAGGUUUUGGUGGGUUACGAGAUCUCAGUGAUGGUCGGUUUUGCUGGGUUACGAGAUAUCAGUGAUGGUAGGUUUUGUUGGGUUAUGAGAUCUCAAUGACGGUCUGUUUUGGUGGGUUACGAGAUCUCAGUGAUGGUUGGUUUUGCUAGGUUAUGAGAUUUCAAUGAUGGUCGGUUUUGGUGGGUUAUGAGACCUCAAUGAUGGUAGGUCGUUUUUUUCUGUUAUAAGAUUUUAAAGACUAUCAGUUUUGUUCCUUUGUUUUUUUAUGAGAUUUCAAAGACAGUCGUUUUUUUUCAAUGAUGUUCGGUUACGAGUCGGACGGUCGGUUACAAGAUCUUAUUGAUGGUAGGUUUUGGUGGGUUACGAGAUCUCAGUGAUGGUCUGUUUUGGCGGGUUACGAGAUCUCAGUGAUGGUAGGUUCUGUUGCGUUACGAGAUCUAAAUGAUGGUCGGUUUUGGAGGGUUACGAGAUGUCAAUGACGUUUGGUUUUGCUAGGUUUUGAGAGUUCAAUGAUGGUCGGUUUUGGUGGGUUAUGAGACCUCAAUGAUGGUAGGUUUUCAGUGUCAGUUGUUUUUUUCUCUGUUAUAAGAUUUUAAAGACGGUCAGUUUGUUCCUUUGUUUUUUUUAGGAGAUUUCAAAGACGGUCGGUUAUGAGUCGGACUGUCGGUUACGAGACCUCAGUGAUGGUAGGUCGUUUAUUUUCUGUUAUAAGAUUUUAAAGAUGGUCAGUUUUGUUCCUUGGUUUUUUUAUGAGAUUUCAAAGACAGUCGGUUUUGUUCCUUUACGAGAUUUAAGUGACGGUCAGAUUUGUUCAGUUACGAGAUUUCAAUGACGGUCAGACUUGCUCAGGGACAAUAUUUCAAAGACAGCUGGUUUUGUUCCUUUCUUUUUUAUAUAAGAUUUAAAAGACAGUCGGUUUUGUUUUGUUACGAGAUUUCAAUGACGGUCGGUUACGAGAUCUCAUUGAUCUCAAUGAUGGUAGGUUUUGGUGGGUUACAAAACCUCAAUGACGGUAGGUCGUUUUUUUUCUGUUAUGAGAUUUUAAAGACGGUCAGUUUUGUUCUUUUCUUCUUUUAUGAGAUUUCAAAGACAGUUGGUUUUGUUCAGUUACAAGAUUUCAAUGACGGUCGGUUACGAGAUCUCAGUGAUCUCAGCGAUGGUAGGUUUUGUUGGGUUACGAGAUCUCAGUGAUGAUAGGUUUUGUUGGGUUACGAGAUCUAAAUGACAGUCGGUUUUGGUGGGUUAUGAGAUGUUAAUGACGGUUGGUUUUGUUAGGUUAUGAGAGUUCAAUGAUGGCCGGUUUUGGUGGGUUACGAGACCUCAAUGAUGGUAGGUCAUUUUUUUUCUGUUAAAAGAUUUUAAAGACGGUCAGUUUUGUUCCUUUGUUUUUUUUUAUGAGAUUUCAAAGACAGUCAGUUUUGUUCAGUUACAAGAUUUCAAUGACGUUCGGUUACGAGUCGGACGGUCGGUUACAAGAUCUUAUUGAUGGUAGGUUUUGGUGGGUUACGAGAUCUCAGUGAUGGUCUGUUUUGGCGGGUUACGAGAUCUCAGUGAUAGUAGGUUUUGGUGGGUUACGAGAUGUCAAUGACGUUUGGUUUUGCUGGGUUUUGAGAGUUCAAUGAUGGUCGGUUUUGGUGGGUUACGAGACCUCAAUGAUGGUAGGUUUUCAGUGUCAGUUGUUUUUUUCUCUGUUGUAAGAUUUUAAAGAUUUCCUUUGCUUUUUUAUGAGAUUUCAAAGACGGUCGGUUAUGAGUCGGACUGUCGGUUACGAGAUCUCGUUGAUCUCAGUAAUGGUAGGUUUUGGUGGGUUACGAGACCUCAGUGAUGGUAGGUCGUUUAUUUUCUGUUAUAAGAAUUUAAAGAUGGUCAGUUUUGUUCCUUUGUUUUUUUUAUGAGAUUUCAAAGACAGUCGGUUUUGUUUCUUUACGAGAUUUGAGUGACGGUCAGAUUUGUUCAGUUACGAGAUUUCAAUGACGGUCAGACUUGCUCAGGGACAAUAUUUCAAAGACAGCUGGUUUUGUUCCUUUCUUUUUUAUAUAAGAUUUAAAAGACAGUCGUUUUGUUUUGUUACGAGAUUUCAAUGACGGUCGGUUACGAGAUCUCAUUGAUCUCAAUGAUGGUAGGUUUUGGUGGGUUACGAGACCUCAAUGACGGUCGGUUUUCAGUGUUAGUCAUUUUUUUCUGUUUUAAAAUUUGAAAGACGGUUGGUUUUGUUCCUUUGUUUUUUUAUGAGAAUUCAAUGACGGUCAGUUUUGUUUCGUUACGAGAUCUCAGUGAUGGUAGGUUUUGGUGGGUUACGAGAUCUCAGUGAUGGUCGGUUUUGCUGGGUUACGAGAUCUCAAUGACGGUUACUUUUGCUAGGUUAUGAGAUUUCAGUGAUGGUCUGUUUUGCUGGGUUAUGAGAUCUCAGUGAUGGUAGGUUUUCAGUGUCAGUCGAUUUUUUUUCUGUUAUAAGAUUUCAAAGACGGUCUGUUUUGUUUCAUUACAAGAUUUCACUGACGGUUGGUUUUGUUCCAUUACGAGAUUUCAAUGAUGGUCAGUUUUGGUGGGUUACGGGAUCUCAAUGACGGUCGAUUUUCAGUGUCAGUUGUUUUUUUGUGUUAUAAAAUUUGAAAGACAAUUGGUUUUGUCCCUUUGUUCUUUUAUGAGAUUUCAAUGACAGUCGAUUUUGUUCGGUUACAAGAUCUCAAUGACGGUCGGUUUUGUUUCAUUACGAGAUUUCAAUGACGGUCGGUUACGAGAUCUCAGUGAUGGUAGGUUUUGUUGGGUUACAAGAUCUCAAUGACGGUCCGUUUUGUUGGUUUACAAGAUCUCAAUGAUGGUCGGUUUUGGUGGGUUACGAGAUUUGAGUGACGGUCGGAUUUGUUCAGUUACGAGAUUUCAAUGACGGUCGGUUUUGUUCCUUUGCGAUGACGGUCGAGAUUUCAGUGACGGUCGGUUUUGUUUCUUUGCAAGAUCUCAAUGAUAGUUGGUUUUGUUCCUUUUCAGGAUUUCAAUGAUGGUCGGUUUUGUUCCAUUACGAGAUUUCAAUGAUGGUCGCUUUUGGUGGGAUACGAGAUCUCAAAGACGGUUGGUUUUGUUUCUUUGGUUUUUUUUAAUGAGAUUUCAAAGACAGUUGGUUUUGUUCCUUUAUGAGAUUUGAGUGACGGUCGGAUUUGUUCAGUUACAAGAUUUCAAAGACAGUCGGUUUUGUUUCAUUGUGAGAUUUCAAUGACAGUCGGUUUGUUCCGUUGCAAGUUUUCAGUGACGGUUGGUUUUGAUCCAUUGCGAGUUUUCAAUGAUGGUCAAUUAUAUUCGGUUACAAGAUUUCAAUGACAUCUGUUUUAUUCGGUUAUGAGAUUUCAAUGAUGGCCAGUUUUGUUUGGUUACGAGUCGGUUUUGGUGGGUUACGAGAUCUCAAUGACGGUCGGUUUUCAGUGUCAGUCGGUUUUUUUCUGUUAUAAGAUUUCAAAGACGGCCGGUUUUGUUCCUUUACGAGAUUUCAGUGACGGUCAGUUUUGUUUCUUUGCGAGAUCUCAAUAACAGUUGGUUUUGUUCCUUUUCAAGAUUUCAAUGAGAGUCGGUUUUGUUCCUUUACAAGAUUUGAGUGACAGUCAGAUUUUUUGAGUUACAAGAUUUAAAAGGCAGUCGGUUUUGUUCCGUUGCGAGUUUUCAAUGACAGCCAGUUAUAUUCGGUUACAAGAUUUCAAUAGUAUCUGUUUUAUUUGGUAAUGAGAUUUCAAUGAUGGCCGGUUUUGUUUGGUUAUGAAUCGGUUUUGGUGGGUUCCAAGAUCUCAGUGAUGGUAGGUUUUGGUGAGGUACGAGAUCUCAGUAACGGUCGGUUUUGGCGGGUUAUGAGAUCUCAAUGAUAGUCGGUUUUGCCUGGUUAUGAGAUUUCAAUGAUUGCCGGUUGUUUAUUUAUUAUUUAUUAUGGAAAGCUGUUCAUUCAUGUUGUUUUGUGUUUCCAUUUAGAACAAAGUGUGACGAAAACGAAAAUAAAAAUAUGAAUAAAACCCACAUGACAGAAUAUGUGAUAAAUGAAUGGUUUCUUAGUUUUUGUUUUGUUUUAGUUUAGUUUCUGUUUUGAAGACAAAAAAAAAAAUCAUACCUUUUGACACUUACCUUCUUUGGAGCAGGUAUCAUCUGGAGUUGAUGCAUUGUCCUCAGGUUUAUGACACUUCUUUUGAUAUUGUAACACACUGUACCACAGGCAGAGCCAAAAAAAAAAAAAAAUUCAUCUUUCCCUCUCUUACUCUCUCUCUUUCUCACACACAGAUUAUCCUGAACAGACCAGCUAAUUUAGUUUGCACUAAAUGCUCAUUCAGUUUCAGCUUGCUAAACCAUUUAAUCUGGUUUAUACUUAAUAUAUAUUUGAGCAUUUUUUGUCCAAAUAUUUCAUAAAGCCUUCGCUAAGCAAUCAACAGAAAUAUAUAUCAGUAAACCCAAUUAAUCAGACUGUACAUCUAAUCCUCAGAGCCCAAUUUUCAUUCAUGUUAAAUAUGACACAUAUCCUGACUAAAGUCGAUCUGACUGGACAAAGGUAAAGAAAGGUUGGCAGUUAAAAACAGUCCCAAGAUCAGUCAAAAAACAGACACACAGAGCACAGGCUGGCAGUUUAAAUGAAUGAUAAAUGUAUUUUUGCUUUUUUUUUUUUUUAAACUUAAAUCAUUGAGCAUCAUACACAGAGGCAUAGAAUAACUGUAAACCAGAACCGAAAGAUACAGAGAAGAUUUAUGUACAAAUACAAAAUUAAUCUGUCAGUCUUUCUUCCAUAGAAGGAAGGAAGGAAAGUAUGCUGGUGAAAAGAAAAGAAAAAAAGAAAGAGAAAGAUCGCAGGAUGUAUUGGGUAAGCUACUGACACACACUUCGGUUUCUUUAUAAAUAUUUUUCUGUCAUCCACUCCUGGAUUGCGAGAAAUGUGGGGAGUGGCAGGUACUGUAGGUUUCUCCUGGGGUCAGUUGUUAAAAAGGAACAUGGAGGUAUGUGUGUGUGU
This is a long non-coding RNA of Ctenopharyngodon idella (grass carp), 14018 nucleotides long. RefSeq lists it as uncharacterized. Lineage: Eukaryota; Metazoa; Chordata; Actinopteri; Cypriniformes; Xenocyprididae. The record is from RefSeq and is a predicted model, not a curated record. The transcript is spliced from 3 exons.